This 400-nucleotide ribosomal RNA is filed under the name uncultured eukaryote. RNAcentral describes it as "bacterial SSU rRNA". It matches the Rfam family "Eukaryotic small subunit ribosomal RNA", at positions 727 to 1122 of the family's 1831-position model. The record is from RNAcentral.
UAAUGGGUAGUUUUGUCCAGAUAGUUUACUUUAGAAAAAUUAGAGUGUUCAAAGCAGGCAUAAUUGGCAUCAUGAAUACAUUAGCAUGGAUAAUAGAAUAUGACUAUUGGUCUUAUUUUGUUGGUUUCUAAGGCCAAAGUAAUGAUUGAUAGGGAUAGUUGGGGCCGCUCGUAUUGAGUUGUCAGAGGUGAAAUUCUAGGAUUUACUCAAGACGAACUAAUGCGAAAGCAUUCGGCAAGGAUGUUUUCAUUAAUCAAGAACGAAAGUUGGGGGAUCGAAGAUGAUCAGAUACCGUCGUAGUCUCAACCAUAAACUAUGUCAACCGAGGAUCCGGUAGCGUUACAUGGAUGACCUUCCGGGCACUCUGUGAGAAAUCAUAAGUAUUUGGAUUUCGGGGGGG